RNAcentral lists this ribosomal RNA (253 nucleotides) under uncultured bacterium. Its description in RNAcentral is "partial 16S ribosomal RNA". It matches the Rfam family "Bacterial small subunit ribosomal RNA", at positions 524 to 776 of the family's 1533-position model. The record is from RNAcentral.
UACGAAGGGGGCUAGCGUUGCUCGGAAUCACUGGGCGUAAAGCGCACGUAGGCGGAUUGUUAAGUCAGGGGUGAAAUCCUGGAGCUCAACUCCAGAACUGCCUUUGAUACUGGCGAUCUCGAGUCCGGGAGAGGUGAGUGGAACUGCGAGUGUAGAGGUGAAAUUCGUAGAUAUUCGCAAGAACACCAGUGGCGAAGGCGGCUCACUGGCCCGGUACUGACGCUGAGGUGCGAAAGCGUGGGGAGCAAACAGG